Molecule: ribosomal RNA, 497 nt
Filed under: uncultured bacterium
Lineage: Bacteria
Description: partial 16S ribosomal RNA
Rfam family: Bacterial small subunit ribosomal RNA
Source: RNAcentral
GAUGAACGCUGGCGGCGUGCCUAAUACAUGCAAGUCGAGCGAACAGAUGAGGAGCUUGCUCCUCUGACGUUAGCGGCGGACGGGUGAGUAACACGUGGAUAACCUACCUAUAAGAAUGGGAUAACUACGGGAAACCGGAGCUACUACCGGAUAAUAUAUUGAACCGCAUGGUUCAAUAGUGAAAGACGGUUUUGCUGUCACUUAUAGAUGGAUCCGCGCCGCAUUAGCUAGUUGGUAAGGUAACGGCUUAACAAGGCAACGAUGCGUAGCCGACCUGAGAGGGUGAUCGGCCACACUGGAACUGAGAAACGGUCCAGACUCCUACGGGAGGCAGCAGUAGGGAAUCUUCCGCAAUGGGCGAAAGCCUGACGGAGCAACGCCGCGUGAGUGAUGAAGGUGUUCGGAUCGUAAAACGCUGUUAGUAGGGAAGAACAAAUGUGUAAGUAACUAUGCACGUCUUGACGGUACCUAAUCAGAAAGCCACGGCUAACUACGUG